Molecule: transfer RNA, 62 nt
Filed under: Qianguimon aflagellum
Lineage: Eukaryota; Metazoa; Arthropoda; Malacostraca; Decapoda; Potamidae
Description: tRNA-Thr
Rfam family: tRNA
About the family: Transfer RNA (tRNA) molecules are approximately 80 nucleotides in length.
Source: RNAcentral
GUUUUGAUAGUUUAAUAAAAACUUUGGUUUUGUAAACCAAGAAUGAAUUAAUUCUUAAAACU